This is an RNA transcript of Salvia hispanica, 709 nucleotides long. It is a transcript of the gene named protein GL2-INTERACTING REPRESSOR 1 pseudogene, with no coding region annotated. The record is from RefSeq and is a predicted model, not a curated record. NCBI's taxonomy places the organism in Eukaryota, Viridiplantae, Streptophyta, Magnoliopsida, Lamiales, Lamiaceae.
UUACUACAAAUUUCCCAUUCUUGCUCUUGGGAUUUUUUCCCAUCAAUUAAUACACCAUCUCUUCUUCUAUCUUUCCCUUGCAAUUCAACUCAACUCAACCACACCCUUUCUCUAUCUACCUCCACCUCUCACCUUAAUUUAUUGAGCAUUAAAGCAAUCCCUCUAUAUAUACAUAUGAUGCUACUGAUUCUACUCCUAACACAACUCUCCACCACCUUAAGGCAUAAGGGUUGAAAGGGAGUAGUAAAAAGGAUGAGUGUGAAUGGAGCAAAGCUGGAGCUGAAGUUGAACUUGUCUCCACCGAGGACGACCUCAUGCGCCUCGGUGAACCAGCAGGAUGAGCAGCUCUGCUACUCAACUAGCCCGACCGCAAAGAUGAUGAUGCUGGUGGGAUGCCCUCGGUGUCUCAUGUAUGUGAUGCUGUCGGAGGAGGAUCCGAGGUGUCCCAAAUGCAAGAGCUCUGUUUUGCUCGACAUCAUGCACACCUCUGCCCCAAAAACCAACAGGAGUUGAUCCAAAAACAGAAAUAAGGAUCAAAGUAGAGGUAGUUAGCACUUGUGGAGCCUUAAUAGUGCUGUUUUUUUUUUUGGUUUCUUUCUUUUUGUUUAGUUUUCAUCCAUUUCCAGUAAGUCAUGGUCUCAUGGCUAUGCAUAAGAAGAAUGAGUCUAAAGUUCUCUUGUAACAAAUUUAAUGUAAUUUCUUUCCUGCA